GGUUGAUCCUGCCAGUAGUCAUAUGCUUGUCUCAAAGAUUAAGCCAUGCAUGUCUAAGUAUAAACAUCUUUAUACAGUGAAACUGCGUACAGCUCAUUAUAUCAGUUAUUAUUUAUUUGAUGGUACCUUACUACAUGGAUACCCGUAGUAAUUCUAGAGCUAAUACAUGCGUAAAAUCUCAACUUUCGGGAAGAGAUGUAUUUAUUAGAUAAAAAACCAAUGCAGGUUUUACCUGGUUAUUUGGUGAUUCAUAGUAACUGUUCGAAUCGCACGACCUUGUGUUGGCGAUAGUU
This 293-nucleotide ribosomal RNA is filed under the name uncultured eukaryote. RNAcentral describes it as "partial 18S ribosomal RNA". It matches the Rfam family "Eukaryotic small subunit ribosomal RNA", at positions 6 to 295 of the family's 1831-position model. The record is from RNAcentral.